Non-coding RNA from Trichosurus vulpecula (common brushtail), 1196 nucleotides. NCBI's taxonomy places the organism in Eukaryota, Metazoa, Chordata, Mammalia, Diprotodontia, Phalangeridae. The record is from the annotation of a RefSeq genome assembly.
GGGAGUCACGAAUUCUGGGGUCUCAUAACUGGAGGGGCCGUUGGGCUCAUCAGAAUCUGGUCCAUCCCCGCAGACUCUCACACUAGCCGCCUGUUUACUCCCGCAGCCAGUCAGCAACAGUAUGCAAGCUCUAAUUGAAUGCUUCCUGUGUGCUGGGCUAAAUGAUGAGGACACGAAGGGAAGCGGGAGUUGUCCGGUGGAUGCCCAGAGGGCUUGCUAACCUUAGGGAUUCAGAAGAUGCUGGAGGACCAGGACGAAAGUGGGCACCGGCCAGGCAGGAGAGGUCGAGGGCGGAAGAGCUUGCUUCGGUUUAGUUUUUUUUUUUUUUUGAAAGCUAUGUUGGGAAAAAGCUGGUUGAGUGAUUGUUGUACUUCGUACACAACGAGAACCAAUGUCAGGAGGCUCCCAAAUGUUGAGGCAGUUCUGGCAACGUGUGCAUCAUCCUCAUUAUCUGUUUUACAUCAAUGGAAAGUAUACUGCCAAGGGAGAGAAUCACCAUAUCGUGAAUGGCCAAUCAGUGCAAAAACACUACAUACUGAUGUUGGUACCAGUAGAAACCAAGAAAGGCCCCUCCAAGCUUCUCAUCUAUAGCACAUCCAGCCUGAUCUCUGGGGUCCCUGUUUGGUUCAGUGGCAAUGGGUCUGGCCAGAUUUUUUUCCUCAUAAUCAGCAGUUUGGAAGUUAAAGAUGUUGCAGUCUACUACUGUCAACCACGGGUGACUCCCCUCCUGUAGUGUUCCAUCAUGGUACACAAAUCUCCCUGGGCAGUUUCAGCUGCUUAGGGGAGUACCUGCUUUCUCUGGAAUCCCCCAGGGAAGAGAAGCCACUGAUCUCUGUGCUGUACUGAGGUCAGCUGGAAACCCCUCAUCCCACAAUGCCCCAGGAAGCACAUUAUUGAGAUAAUUUCAUCAUCCCAUAAGAUCUCAUCCCUUUUGGGACUCCACCUCAUAACUAACCUGGCCUCUCUGACUGAAAGAUAAGGCCUUGGAUUCCAGUCCUUCAUUUAAGGAGAGAGCCUGGCUCAGACAAUGCUUCAUUUCUCACCUGAUUGCACUCCUUGGGGAAUUCUCUGAGUUCUCUACCAUGUCCCUACAUAGGGUACCUUCCCCACAAACUCGUUUUUCAGCUGCUGCUUCUGUUUUGUCUUCCUCUAUUAGCUUGUAAGCUCCAUGAGGUUAAGAACUGUCUUUUUCAUAU